ACGGGUGAGUAACGCGUGGGAACAUACCCUUUGGUUCGGAAUAACUGAGAGAAAUUUCAGCUAAUACCGGAUGUGCCCUUCGGGGGAAAGAUUUAUCGCCAAAGGAUUGGCCCGCGUCUGAUUAUCUAGUUGGUGAGGUAACGGCCCACCAAGGCGACCAUUACUAUCUGGUCUGAGAGGAUGAUCAGCCACACUGGGACUGAAACACGGCCCAGACUCCUACGGGAGGCAGCAGUGGGGAAUAUUGGACAAUAGGGGCAACCCUGAUCCAGCCAUGCCGCGUGAGUGAUGAAGGCCUUAGGGUUGUAAAGCUCUUUCGUCACGGAAGAUAAUGACGGUACCUGAAAAAGAAGCCCCGGCUAACUUCGUGCCAACGACCGCGGUAAUACUAAGGGGGCUAGCGUUGUUCGGAAUUACUGGGCGUAAAGCACACGUACGCGGACAUUUAAGUCAGGGGUGAAAUCCCACGGCUCAACCCUGGAACUGCCUUUGAUACUGGGUGUCUUGAGUACGAGAGAGGUGAGUGGAAUUCCCAGUGUAGAGGUGACAUUCGUAGA
This 557-nucleotide ribosomal RNA is filed under the name uncultured bacterium. RNAcentral's name for it is "bacterial SSU rRNA". It matches the Rfam family "Bacterial small subunit ribosomal RNA", at positions 102 to 694 of the family's 1533-position model. The record is from RNAcentral.